CCCACAUUUGUUAUCCAAGUCCCAGAUGGCAUCUGUACAAGCAAAAUAACCAGAAGGAAAAAUCCAGACCCUGUGUUCAUUUCGACAUGCUUGCAUUUUGCUCAAAUGGAAACUGCACCAAAGCACAGAGUCACCAGGGUCUCAGCUAAACAUUAUUCAUUCCUGGAGCUGUAAUUAGGAGGAAAUGACUGCCUGACCUCACUAAAUUUCAUCAGCAGUGCCUGUACGCUUGCGCGUUGGUGGGAAAUGACACUUCCUGCAGCGCUGGAUUGAUCAAGAUGUGACUCAACAGAAGAAGAGGGACCAGCCUGGCCAGUGGCUGCUGCACUUAGCAGGGCUCUUGCCAACAGCCCCAGCAGAAACGCUGCAGAAUGGAUUUCCUCCAGCCCUUCCCUAGAGCAAGAUCUGGCACAGAACAAGGAGUCUUCUCUGGAUAGCAGCAAACCCCCUGGGAUCCCUGCUAUGCUCUUGCUGUGUUCCAGAAAAAAAGAGGAAGAGAUGAAAAAAAAUGGAAAAAAAAAUUCCCUGCCAGGCUGCUCCCGUGCAGCUGGAGGCCGGGAGUGCUGAGCUGGCAGGGGAAGACACCGGCACUCAGCACUGGCUGCAUCCUGAGGCUGUGAGCUCCAAAGUGGUGACACCAUCCCUGCCCAGGCACUGCCAAACCCUCCAGAGCAAGGCCUGGCCUGGCAGCAGGUUUUGGGUUUUUACAGGGCUCCACUGCAGGAAGUCUCCCCGCUCAGAAACUGUCUGCUCGCACUACACACGGCAUCCCGAGGAGAAAAGCAGCUGGGAUCCUGGCUGGGCCAUGAUGGUGGCUCUGGAGCCAGGGUUAAGCCCUGGGGCAGAUGCAGCUGUGGCCCUGCACGGAUCCAUGAGGCACCAUGAAGAGGGCAGCAUCUGCUGUGUCCCAUGGGGUGGAGUGUUCUUUCUCCAUAAGGCUGGGUCAGAGCAGAUGCAGGUGUGUGAACAGAGACAAGCCCAGGCUGUCUGUGCCCAAAGCAACGCCAAAACAUCUGGGAUCACAGUGGUAGGCAGGCCAGGGCUGCUGCAAACCACUUGAGCCAGCAGCAGGCUAGAGACAGUGACUUAAUGGAGUUCACCCCAAUAAGAUCAGCCUUUGACACCCAACACAGCCCUGCCCCAUGACCCCAAGCUGUGGCCACCCCCUGCUUACCAGCCCCAGCACCUGCAGCAUCACUGCUCACACACUCCUGUCCCAGCCCUCCCUGUUCCCAGAUGCUGGCUGGAAUUUACACAUCCCUCCUAUUCCACUCAUUCAUGCUGAGAGCGAGUCAGGCAUCCCAUUCCCUGUACCAAUGGUUUACCAAUCUCUGGAAUGCCCCUGAGACUCCCAAAAAGUUUGGGAAGGCCAAGGAAUCCUGAAAUAAAUGAGACUGUUGAGAA
Long non-coding RNA from Haemorhous mexicanus (house finch), 1404 nucleotides. RefSeq lists it as uncharacterized. NCBI's taxonomy places the organism in Eukaryota, Metazoa, Chordata, Aves, Passeriformes, Fringillidae. The record is from RefSeq and is a predicted model, not a curated record. The transcript has 2 exons.